Molecule: long non-coding RNA, 430 nt
Organism: Helianthus annuus (common sunflower)
Lineage: Eukaryota; Viridiplantae; Streptophyta; Magnoliopsida; Asterales; Asteraceae
Exons: 3
Source: RefSeq, a predicted model, not a curated record
CAGGAAGGGAAAAGAGGGUCAAAACCCUAGUUUCUUCAAAAUCUUCAAAUUGAAAGGCAAGAUGAAGCUUUAACUCAUAACCGAGCAUAGAUUAAUGAUCACCUUCACAAGGGGAUCGCAAGGAAUCAUGUCGAGACGGAAUCAAGCACGGAAGGCUAACGGGUCAAGAAGUGGCGAAGAAACAAAUAUGAAUACGGAUGCACGAGGUGCCACACGGACUUCUUCUGCUACUUAGAAAGUGAAGCGGACGUAGAUCGAGUCAAGAGCAAGGAUUGCACGGAUAGAUCGGUCAUAUAAUUGAAGUGUAUAACGUCUAGAAAUGUAAAUUUUAGUAUGAAUGUUGUGAAUUCUUUUAUAGAACGUUUAACAUUUUUAGCAUUUGGAACCUUCGCGAAAGUAAUGUCGUUAAUAAGGAAAUAAAUUUUAAAGC